UACGUAGGGGCCAAGCGUUGUCCGGAAUCACUGGGCGUAAAGGGCGCGUAGGCGGUCUUAUAAGUCAGAUGUUAAAUCUACGGGCUUAACCCGGAACCGGAUCUGAAACUGGAAGGCUAGAUAAUGGGAGAGGAAAGCGGAACUUCCGGUGUAGCGGUGAAAUGCGUAAAUAUCGGAAGGAACACCAUGGGCGAAGGCGGCUUUCUGGGCCAUUUCUGAGGCUGAGGGGCGAAAGCUAGGGGAAGAAACGGGAUUAAAUACCCCGGUAGUCCUAGGCCUAAACGAUGGUCACUAAGUGUGUAAAGGUAUCGACCCCUUUAGUGCCGCAGCUAACGCGUUAAGUGAACCGCCUGGGAAUUACGAUCGCAAGAUUAAAACUCAAAAGAAUUGACGGGGGCCCGCACAAGCGGUGGAGCAUGUGGUUUAAUUCGAUGCUACGCGAACGACCUUACCUGGGUUUGACAUGCUAGUAGUAGAAGCCUGAAAGGGUAACGAUCUAUCUUUGAUAGAAGCUAGCACAGGUGCCGCAUGGCUGUUCUCAGUUCGUGUCGUGAGAUGUUGGGAUAAGUCGCACAGCGAGCGCACCCCCUAUUGUCAGUUGAUAACUUUAAGUGGAUCAUUCUGGCGAAACUGCCCCGGAUGACGGGGAGGAAGGUGGGGAUGAGGUCAAGUCACCAUGGCCUUUAUGCCCAGGGUCCCACCCGUGCUCCAAUGCCGCGUCCAACUGGAAGCAAAUCCGCAAGGAGGAGCAAAUCCUUAAAAGCGCUGCUCAGUUCGGAUUGCAGGCUGCAACUCGCCCGUAGGAAGCUGGAAUCGUUAGUAUCCGCAGUAUCAGCGUGCUGCGGUGAAUUCGUUCUCGGGCCU
This 864-nucleotide ribosomal RNA is filed under the name uncultured bacterium. RNAcentral's name for it is "SSU rRNA". It matches the Rfam family "Bacterial small subunit ribosomal RNA", at positions 524 to 1381 of the family's 1533-position model. The record is from RNAcentral.